GUUGGAUCUGAGUCGCAUGUGGUGGUUCGCCUUUGGUGUUGCGUGUUUUAAUCGCUGUUGCGACUAUUUGCUGGUUUUCUACUGAAGUUCCGGCUUCUUUAGUGGCUAGCGAGUCUACUUUGAAUAAAUUAGAGUGCUCAGAACAAGCGUUUGCUUGAAUGCUCGAUCAUAGAAUAAUAAAAGAGGAUUUCGGUUCUAUUUAUUGGUUCAGGAACUGAAUUAAUGGUUAAGAGGGACAAUUCGGGGGCAUUCGUAUCCCUGGGCGAGAGGUCAAAUUCGUGGAUCGCAGGGGGACGCCCUUUCCCACUUUGCUUUUCACGAU
RNAcentral lists this non-coding RNA (322 nucleotides) under Ancylostoma duodenale. RNAcentral describes it as "Eukaryotic small subunit ribosomal RNA". It matches the Rfam family "Eukaryotic small subunit ribosomal RNA", at positions 633 to 956 of the family's 1831-position model. The record is from Rfam by way of RNAcentral. Lineage: Eukaryota; Metazoa; Nematoda; Chromadorea; Rhabditida; Ancylostomatidae.